AGAAAAAAAAAAGAAAAAAAAUUCUUUAGUGCCUUUUUUUAAAGAUUUAUUUCUUAUAUAUAAGUACACUGUAGCUGUCUUCAGACACAAGAAGGCACCAGAUCUCAUUACAGAUGGUUGUGAGCCACCAUGUGGUUGCUGGCAUUUGAACUCAGGUCCUCUGGAAGAGCAGUCAGUGCUCUUAACCACUGAGCCAUCUCUCCAGCCCAUGUGCUUUUUUGUUUUUGCAGUUAGCUAACAUUUUCGGUUUUUCAUAAUUUGGUUAAUUCUUAACUUUUUUUUCCUGCUGGCUUGUGGGUUCCUAGGCUCCAUCACAGGUGUAUGGAGGAGUGACUUACUAUAACCCUGCCCAGCAGCAGGUACAGCCAAAGCCCUCUCCACCCCGGAGGACUCCCCAGCCAGUCUCCAUCAAGCCCCCUCCAUCUGAGGUAUGGCUCCCUCCCAUACUCCUAACAUAUGGGCUUUGCUUUCUCCAGAGAAUUUCUUUUCUCUUCCUUUUAGGGUGUGUUUCUAUGGAAGUCUUCCUUUUUUUAUUUUGUAUGGCGUGGUAUGAUAACAAUUUCCAACUUUAUUUGUUUCAGGUUGUAAGCAGAGGUUCCAGUUAAUAAGAGUUUUCAACUAUUUUAAGUAUAACAUCAUGUGAAUGUAAGUACCCAAUGUACUGCGACUCUUAGUCUAAGACUGACGCUCACACUUAGGUGCUUAAUAAAACCACCUCAUUAAUGCCGACUCAGGGAACUUGUUUUAUGAAUGCACUGGGCAGAAUUGACAAGCAGCCUCUUCUACCUUCAGAUUUUUCCUCGGGAAACUGCAGAAUGAAAAUACAGGAGCCCAGUCUAAACUAGAUUAAGGAAA
RNAcentral lists this long non-coding RNA (855 nucleotides) under Rattus norvegicus (Norway rat). RNAcentral describes it as "long non-coding RNA NONRATT004854". The record is from RNAcentral. Lineage: Eukaryota; Metazoa; Chordata; Mammalia; Rodentia; Muridae.